UGGAAAGCGCCGUUCCUGACUCUAAUGUACUUAGACACUUGAAGCCACAAAAGGAUUUAUCCCCGAGGUUCCUCGUCUGCUCGCGAGGAUGCCUUUUCUCUUCUGCCUUGCGAAAUAACAGCAGCCUAGCUGGUGCCCGUGACCAGGGAGGAAGGCAGCGUCGCGGGCUGAUUACGUUUCACCCAAAGGGUGCCGGCGCCGAAUUGGUUUCUAACGAGAACUUUUAAAAUGAUCCGUUCCAAGAAAGGGUAGGAGCCGCGAGACCCUCCAACUGCCCAGGGAAAACAAGUCUCGUCUGGCAAAGUUCUCGGCCCACGCGGUCCGCGGCCAGGGGCCAACGGUCCCUCGCCCCACGUUGCCGCAGCACUGCGCGUGCGCGAGCCGCUGUCAAACGCGCUGACGGAGGCCGAGAAGAAAAAAAGGCGGGAGCCGCCAAUCCCGGGUUGAGCAAAAUGGCGCGGGAGAAGGAGAUGCAGGAGUUCACCCGUAGCUUUUUCCAAGGCCGCCCGGACCUCAGGUGCCCAGGGGGUUGAAGAUGGGGUUGGAAAGGGCGCGGGUGGGACGGGACUCCGUCCUCACACCAUGUCCCUGCAGCACGCUUACGCAUUCCAUCGUGCGGCGGAGGUACUUGGCUCACUCGGGCCGCAGCCACCUGGAGCCCGAGGAGAAGCAGGCACUGAAGCGGCUGGUGGAGGAGGAGCUGCUGAAGAUGCAGGUGUGCCGGGCCGGAGCCUGGGCCGCGGGAGGCGGAGGCGGGGCUUGCUGCUGAGGAGGAGGGGCCUGACGGGGCGCGGUGAGCGCAGCCUUGGUGCAUA
RNAcentral lists this small RNA (815 nucleotides) under Pongo abelii (Sumatran orangutan). Its description in RNAcentral is "retained intron". Lineage: Eukaryota; Metazoa; Chordata; Mammalia; Primates; Hominidae. The record is from RNAcentral.